UGCUUAUUAGGCGGUGGUGAGGCGUGUUAGAGACAUGCGUCUGCCUGUGGGUGUACUGUCCGGCCACGGGAUUUAGGAUUAGCUCUAUAGGACCAACGUGAAGGCACAUCGUGCGGCGGAGGGUCGAAGCCCACGGAUUUCCAUGAGCUCGGCCUGGCUUCCUUCUUGGGAUUGUUCCUUUCUCGGAGAGAAUUGUAUAAAAGAGGGAGAAAUAACCCCACAUCUCUUGACACUAGAGCUCCAGGUCCCCCGACCAUGGGAAGCAGUCACGCUCUGGACAGUAAAGGUGAAGACAGCAACUUGUCAGAGCUUGGAGAGUCUCUAGAAUGAAGAAGGCCUGGAUCUUCUGUGUCUCCAGCUUAAGAAGACCAGAGAAUAAACACAAUUGCUGCUGCUCUCA
RNAcentral lists this long non-coding RNA (400 nucleotides) under Piliocolobus tephrosceles (Ugandan red Colobus). Its description in RNAcentral is "lncRNA (ENSPTEG00000031671.1)". The record is from RNAcentral. Lineage: Eukaryota; Metazoa; Chordata; Mammalia; Primates; Cercopithecidae.